AGCUCCAAUAGCGUAUAUUAAAGUUGUUGCAGUUAAAAAGCUCGUAGUUGAAUUUCUGUCAUUUUUAAGUUGGUCUUGCUUUGCUUGCACUGACUUAAAUUGGACAUCUUGAUAAUGAAUAUUUCUGACAUUAAUUUGUUGGGUAUAGGAAUUAUCACUUUUACUGUGAAUAAAUUAGAGUGUUUAAAGCAAGCGAUUGCCUUGAAUACAUUAGCAUGGAAUAAUAAGAUAGGACUUUGGUACUAUUUUGUUGGUUUUGUUGCCGAAGUAAUGAUUAAUAGGGAUAGUUGGGGGUAUUCAUAUUGAGUGGUCAGAGGUGAAAUUCUUGGAUUCACUCAAGAUGAACUACUGCGAAAGCAUUUACCAAGGAUGUUUUCAUUA
This 381-nucleotide ribosomal RNA is filed under the name Developayella sp. RNAcentral's name for it is "partial small subunit ribosomal RNA". It matches the Rfam family "Eukaryotic small subunit ribosomal RNA", at positions 587 to 975 of the family's 1831-position model. Lineage: Eukaryota; Developea; Developayellales; Developayellaceae. The record is from RNAcentral.